AGAGUUUGAUCCUGGCUCAGGACGAACGCUGGCGGCGCGCUUAACACAUGCAAGUCGAGCGAGAACCAGUCCUUCGGGGCUGGGGACAGCGGCGAACGGGUGAGUAACACGUGAGUAAUCCACCCCCGACACUGGGAUAGCCCGGGGAAACCCGGAUUAAUACCGGAUAGCCACUUCGGUUUUCGGACCGGAAUGAAAAGGUAGCUUCGGCCUCCGGUUGGGGACGAGCUCGCGGCGGAUUAGCUUGUUGGUGGGGUAAUGGCCUACCAAGGCAACGAUCAGUAGCCGGCUUGAGAGAGUGACCGGCCACAUUGGGACUGAGACACGGCCCAAACUCCUACGGGAGGCGGCAGUGGGGAAUAUUGGACAAUGGGGGAAACCCUGAUCCAGCGACGCCGCGUGAGUGAAGAAGUAUUUCGGUAUGUAAAGCUCUAUCAGCAGGGAAGAUAAUGACAGUACCUGACUAAGAAGCCCCGGCUAACUACGUGCCAGCAGCCGCGGUAAUACGUAGGGGGCAAGCGUUAUCCGGAUUUACUGGGUGUAAAGGGAGCGUAGGUGGUUCGGUAAGUCAGAUGUGAAAGCCCGGGGCUCAACCCCGGGACUGCAUUUGAAACUAUCGAACUAGAGUGCAGGAGAGGUAAGUGGAAUUCCUAGUGUAGCGGUGAAAUGCGUAGAUAUUAGGAGGAACACCAGUGGCGAAGGCGGCUUACUGGACUGUAACUGACACUGAGGCUCGAAAGCGUGGGGAGCAAACAGGAUUAGAUACCCUGGUAGUCCACGCUGUAAACGAUGAAUACUA
This 799-nucleotide ribosomal RNA is filed under the name uncultured bacterium. RNAcentral's name for it is "bacterial SSU rRNA". It matches the Rfam family "Bacterial small subunit ribosomal RNA", at positions 8 to 818 of the family's 1533-position model. The record is from RNAcentral.